Long non-coding RNA from Sebastes umbrosus (honeycomb rockfish), 1006 nucleotides. RefSeq lists it as uncharacterized. NCBI's taxonomy places the organism in Eukaryota, Metazoa, Chordata, Actinopteri, Perciformes, Sebastidae. The record is from RefSeq and is a predicted model, not a curated record. The transcript is spliced from 4 exons.
GCUUCAGACUUUCCUUUUAUUCCAGAUCCUGCCACUCCCAUCUACCACUGCAAUCACCUCUUCUCCCUCACCUGCACCUCAUUUCCUCAUCAGUCUUGCAGCACAUAUGCCCCUUUUCCCCUGUCGGUUGUCAGAUCAUUGUAGUUUCUUUGCUGCCGUGAGCUACCUGUACCUGCCUGUCAACCCACAGAUGAACUUCUCUUGGUGACAAUGUGGAACAGCUUUCAGCACUCACAGCAGGGUUGAACGUAACAAAUGGCCUGAGAUUUAACCCCAAUGCUAUAAGGGAACCAUAAUGUCAAUGAGGCAAUCGCUGUGCGGAGGACGGAACGGUUACAGCGGCACCAGUUGGGAACCUGCAGUGAAAGCUCGAUUGGAGAGGCCAGACACACAGCCGUCCAACGGUAAAGAUCAAAUGAUCCAAGCAGCAGCAGCUUCUGUCUUCUGGGGAAACUUCUCCCCCUCCCACCAAGUCCAGAGUCCAGAGGGCUGCACACAUCCAACAUCCAACACAGCAGCAGGAGGCUCAGUCAGUCAGUCAGUCAGUGUGUCGGUGCUCCUGAUGAAGGAGGGGAGUGUCUGUGUUUUUUUGUGACAGUGUGGUUUCACAUGCUAUUUUCCCUCCUCGCUCCAAAAAAAAAAAAAAAAAAAAAGGGGGAUGAAGAUUUAAAGGAACGGUAGCUUUUGUUUUGAUGGCUGCCUCGUGCGUAAUUAGGCUUAAUUGGGAUGGAGGGAGUGAUGAUGAUGAUGGUGAUGAUGAUGAGCUAAAUUGCAGUGUUGAAUACAUUGUGGUGAUGACCAAUCUGGAGUGAAACAUUUCUAGAAAGGAGGAGAUGGAGGAGGAGGAGGAGGUCUUCAGCAAAAUAAAGUGUGUGUGUGUGUGUGUGUGGGGGAGUGCAGUGAGUUUUUGUAAUGGGCUGAAAAUGUUUUGAGAUUUUUGUUGAUUGUGUCAGUAAAUUAUCAAUGAAAGACUUUAUUUCCGACAUAAAAUAAAUAAAAACAGACA